Molecule: ribosomal RNA, 479 nt
Filed under: uncultured bacterium
Lineage: Bacteria
Description: bacterial SSU rRNA
Rfam family: Bacterial small subunit ribosomal RNA
Source: RNAcentral
GGACGAACGCUGGCGGCGUGCUUAACACAUGCAAGUCGAACGGGGUGUUUAUUUCGGUAAACACCAAGUGGCGAACGGGUGAGUAACGCGUAAGCAAUCUACCUUCAAGAUGGGGACAACACUUCGAAAGGGGUGCUAAUACCGAAUGAAUGUAAGAGUAUCGCAUGAGACACUUACUAAAGGAGGCCUCUGAAAAUGCUUCCGCUUGAAGAUGAGCUUGCGUCUGAUUAGCUAGUUGGUGAGGGUAAAGGCCCACCAAGGCGACGAUCAGUAGCCGGUCUGAGAGGAUGAACGGCCACAUUGGGACUGAGACACGGCCCAGACUCCUACGGGAGGCAGCAGUGGGGAAUCUUCCGCAAUGGGCGAAAGCCUGACCCAGCAACGCCGCGUGAAGGAAGAAGGCCUUCGGGUUGUAAACUUCUUUUAAGAGGGACGAAGAAGUGACGGUACCUCUUGAAUAAGCCACGGCUAACUACGUG